AGUGAACGCUGGCGGUAGGCCUAACACAUGCAAGUCGAACGGCAGCACAGUAAGAGCUUGCUCUUACGGGUGGCGAGUGGCGGACGGGUGAGGAAUACAUCGGAAUCUACUUUUUCGUGGGGGAUAACGUAGGGAAACUUACGCUAAUACCGCAUACGACCUACGGGUGAAAGCAUGGGAUCUUCGGACCUUGCGCGAUUGAAUGAGCCGAUGUCGGAUUAGCUAGUUGGCGGGGUAAAGGCCCACCAAGGCGACGAUCCGUAGUUGGUCUGAGAGGAUGAUCAGCCACACUGGAACUGAGACACGGUCCAGACUCCUACGGGAGGCAGCAGUGGGGAAUAUUGGACAAUGGGCGCAAGCCGGAUCCAGCCAUACCGCGUGGGUGAAGAAGGCCUUCGGGUUGUAAAGCCCUUUUGUUGGGAAAGAAAAGCAGCAGGUUAAUACCCCGCUGUUCUGACGGUACCCAAAGAAUGAGCACCGGCUAACUUCGUG
This 492-nucleotide ribosomal RNA is filed under the name uncultured bacterium. RNAcentral describes it as "partial 16S ribosomal RNA". It matches the Rfam family "Bacterial small subunit ribosomal RNA", at positions 29 to 507 of the family's 1533-position model. The record is from RNAcentral.